AGUGAACGCUGGCGGCAGGCCUAAUACAUGCAAGUCGAACGGCAGCACAGCAGAGCUUGCUCUGUGGGUGGCGAGUGGCGGACGGGUGAGGAAUACAUGGGAAUCUGCCCAGUCGUGGGGGAUAACGUAUGGAAACGUACGCUAAUACCGCAUGCGCCCUACGGGGGAAAGUCGGGACCGCAAGGCCUGACGCGAUUGGAUGAGCCCAUGUUCGAUUAGCUAGUUGGCGGGGUAAAGGCCCACCAAGGCGACGAUCGAUAGCUGGUCUGAGAGGAUGAUCAGCCACACUGGAACUGAGACACGGUCCAGACUCCUACGGGAGGCAGCAGUAGGGAAUAUUGGACAAUGGGGGCAACCCUGAUCCAGCCAUGCCGCGUGAGUGAAGAAGGCCCUCGGGUUGUAAAGCUCUUUUGUCCGGAAAGAAAAGCAUCUGGUUAAUACCCGGGUGUUCUGACGGUACCGGAAGAAUAAGCACCGGCUAACUUCG
RNAcentral lists this ribosomal RNA (487 nucleotides) under uncultured bacterium. RNAcentral describes it as "bacterial SSU rRNA". It matches the Rfam family "Bacterial small subunit ribosomal RNA", at positions 29 to 505 of the family's 1533-position model. The record is from RNAcentral.